Molecule: ribosomal RNA, 211 nt
Filed under: uncultured Staphylococcus sp.
Lineage: Bacteria; Bacillati; Bacillota; Bacilli; Caryophanales; Staphylococcaceae
Description: partial 16S ribosomal RNA
Rfam family: Bacterial small subunit ribosomal RNA
Source: RNAcentral
CGGGAAACCGGAGCUAAUACUGAUAAUAUUUUGAACCGCAUGGUUCAAAAGUGAAAGACGGUCUUGCUGUCACUUAUAGAUGGAUCCGCGCUGCAUUAGCUAGUUGGUAAGGUAACGGCUUACCAAGGCAACGAUGCAUAGCCGACCUGAGAGGGUGAUCGGCCACACUGGAACUGAGACACGGUCCAGACUCCUACGGGAGGCAGCAGCG